GUGGGGAAUAUUGCACAAUGGGCGAAAGCCUGAUGCAGCAACGCCGCGUGAGCGAUGAAGGCCUUCGGGUCGUAAAGCUCUGUCCUCAAGGAAGAUAAUGACGGUACUUGAGGAGGAAGCCCCGGCUAACUACGUGCCAGCAGCCGCGGUAAUACGUAGGGGGCUAGCGUUAUCCGGAAUUACUGGGCGUAAAGGGUGCGUAGGUGGUUUCUUAAGUCAGAGGUGAAAGGCUACGGCUCAACCGUAGUAAGCCUUUGAAACUGGGGAACUUGAGUGCAGGAGAGGAGAGUGGAAUUCCUAGUGUAGCGGUGAAAUGCGUAGAUAUUAGGAGGAACACCAGUUGCGAAGGCGGCUCUCUGGACUGUAACUGACACUGAGGCACGAAAGCGUGGGGAGCAAACAGG
Molecule: ribosomal RNA, 404 nt
Filed under: bacterium
Lineage: Bacteria
Also listed under: 1 other name
Description: bacterial SSU rRNA
Rfam family: Bacterial small subunit ribosomal RNA
Source: RNAcentral